GCUUGUCUCAAAGAUUAAGCCAUGCAUGUCUAAGUACAAGCCUCAGUAAGGUGAAACCGCGAAUGGCUCAUUAAAUCACACCUAAUCUACUGGAAAGUUACUAGUUACUUGGAUAACUGAGGUAAUUCUUGAGCUAAUACAUGCGAAAAAUCUCGACUCACGGAGAGAUGCUUUUAUUAGAUCAAAACCAAACGGCUUCGGCCGUCUCAUUGGUGACUCUGAAUAACUUUGCGGAUCGCAGACCUCGCGUCGGCGACGAAUCAUUCAAGUUUCUGCCCUAUCAGCUUUGGAUGGUAGGGUAUUGGCCUACCAUGGCUCUAACGGGUAACGGAGAAUUGGGGUUCGAUUCCGGAGAGGGAGCCUGAGAGAUGGCUACCACAUCCAAGGAAGGCAGCAGG
Molecule: ribosomal RNA, 398 nt
Filed under: Eudiaptomus graciloides
Lineage: Eukaryota; Metazoa; Arthropoda; Copepoda; Calanoida; Diaptomidae
Description: partial small subunit ribosomal RNA
Rfam family: Eukaryotic small subunit ribosomal RNA
Source: RNAcentral